Molecule: non-coding RNA, 556 nt
Organism: Rhinichthys klamathensis goyatoka
Lineage: Eukaryota; Metazoa; Chordata; Actinopteri; Cypriniformes; Leuciscidae
Source: the annotation of a RefSeq genome assembly
CGACUGUGAAUCCCACAUCUCUGUCCUUCAGCUUCACUCAUUCCCAGUAAAGAUGACGACACACACACUGAUCAUCUGCUCUCUGCUGCUGCUCCUCAACGAGUGUAGAGGACAGAUCACCGUCACUCAGAGUCCCUCAAUAACAGCAGAACAACCAGGAGGAACUGUGAAUAUCAAAUGUAAAACCAGCAGAGAUGUGUACAAUGGAGAUUUCUUAGCCUGGUACUUACAGAAACCUGGAGAAGCUCCUAAACUCCUGAUUUAUAGAACAAACCGCCUCGAGUCAGGAACUCCAUCUAGAUUCAGUGGCAGUGGAUCUUACAGUGAUUUCACUCUGAGCAUCAGUGGAGUCCAGACUGAAGAUGCUGGACAUUAUUACUGUCAGAGUUAUCAUGAGACCGACAGUGGUGAUUAUGUGUUCACACAGUGAUAAAGAGUCGUACAAAAACCUCCGUCAGUCAGAGUCACAGUGACUGAACUGAAACUGCAGCUGCUCAAACACACACACACACACACACACACACACACACACACACACACACACACACACACACAC